Molecule: long non-coding RNA, 1734 nt
Organism: Triticum aestivum (bread wheat)
Lineage: Eukaryota; Viridiplantae; Streptophyta; Magnoliopsida; Poales; Poaceae
Exons: 5
Source: RefSeq, a predicted model, not a curated record
UACAAUCUGAGUUUACCGUGGAAGAAUAGAAAAAAGAUCCUGGGCCAUUGGAUUUGGGAUGUAUGGCAUAGAUUAGAGAGGUGGGAUCUGUACAGAUCGUGUGCAAAACUUUCCCUUUGCUCCCCACGAAUUUGCUUCAGGUCCUUCUUCUCCUCCCUCAAACGACACAUCUCUCUAUCGCUCUCCUGUUCCCCUAUCGCUCGCCGAACCUGGCGGCUGCCCAGAUCCGGUGAUUCCCUGGUGGACGACGACUACUCCCACGACUGCUCCCUGCCUCCCCCCUCCCAAUCCGGCAUUCAGGCAAUCUGGUAGUGCUCGAGCGCGUGGUGAUGCCACCACGGUAUCCUCCUCCCCGGUGCUCCUAGGUCCAGCAUUAGCUCACCGGAGCCAAGCCGGUGACGCUCGAUCUGCUCGCCUCCUUCGCCUCGCAUGCUCAGCAAGCGACAUCAAGGGGAGGUAUGGAUUUGGAUGUAGCUCACUGGCCAGGAGAACUUGCGGCGCCAACACACCAAUAUAGAUCCAUGAUCCAAAGCACUGUCCAGGACAAGUCGCCGGCUGCGCUGCUUGUAGAUGAAAUUAAACUGCUCCUCGGACUUGACCUGGAGCAUGCAAUAAAGCAUGUAUGUCGCGAACAAAAUGUUGUCAGCCAUGCUCACAAAAGGACCUGAUGAGAUAAAGCAGUUGUGCUCCUUAGACUGUAGUGCAGCCAGUUAAUUAAUGUUUUGGCUUACACUUUUCAGCUAUAUAUUGUCAUGCCAACUCACUGAUACAUGAUUAUGGUUGAAGAACAAUGCUGAGCAGUGCAAGGUUACACCAUCACAUCACAGUUCAAACACAUCUUCUUUUUCUUGAUAGGUUUUGAGAUAGCUUACUGCGCUUAUGCCCAAUGGUAGUUUAACCGGGCAUCUUAAAUAUUCUAAUAAUCACACUGGUGUGGCACAGCACUGCUUAUGCCCAAUGGUAGGUUGCUGGCUGCUAGUUAGGAACAAAAGGUGCAUAAAGGUCCAAAAGCAAGAAAUGAUUUGAUUCGUAGUGCAUAAAGGUGCUUAAUUUUUAUGUCAUCACACUUGGGGUUCGCUGUUCAUGUAGCGAUGCUUAUUCAGUGGGGGUCACUUCAGUCCUUCACACUUGGGGUUCGCUGUUCAUGUCGUGGAAAAGGAUGUCAUGUUAUGUACCAAGUAAUAUAUGUAUGUGUCUUGUGCACUCAAAUUAGGAUGGAUGACAUGCACUAAAAAGUUCUUGCCUAGGAUGAUCCACUUAGACAUGUAUUCAAAAGAUCAUACUGGACAUAUAUUCCCAUAUUUGUCUGGGUCCAUCUUUGGAUUUAUUAGGAACAGAAUGGUUGUGAUGAUUUGAAGUAGAAAAUGAUCAUGUCAUUAUAUGUACCAAGAUAUACAUGUAUGUGUAUUGGGUACUCAAGUUAGGAUGGAUAACACGCACCGAAAUUUGUCUGCCUAUGAUGAGAUCCACUUGGAAAUGUAUUAAAAAAAUUGUGCUUGACAUACCAUAUUUGUGUCUGGGUUGAUUCAGCUUUUGAUUUACUAGGAACAGAAUGGUUUUCAAGAUUUGAAGUUGCCCAGAUUGAAUAUGAGAAAGUUGGGGUUCUUACUGCAAAAUGUCAUGUUUAUAUCUAACUGUUAGUAGGGGGGUUUUCAUCAAAUGUACAAUAAGUAGCCUGAGACCCCUCCACUCCGAUCUGUACCGACAAUAUUGGAUCCAACAGCCAACGUUGUG